GAUGAACGCUGGCGGCGUGCCUAAUACAUGCAAGUCGAGCGAACGGACGAGAAGCUUGCUUCUCUGAUGUUAGCGGCGGACGGGUGAGUAACACGUGGAUAACCUACCUAUAAGACUGGGAUAACUUCGGGAAACCGGAGCUAAUACCGGAUGAUAUUUUGAACCGCAUGGUUCAAAAGUGAAAGACGGUCUUGCUGUCACUUAUAGAAGGAUCCGCGCUGCAUUAGCUAGUUGGUAAGGUAACGGCUUACCAAGGCAACGAUGCAUAGCCGACCUGUGAGGGUGAUCGGCCACACUGGAACUGAGACACGGUCCAGACUCCUACGGGAGGCAGCAGUAGGGAAUCUUCCGCAAUGGGCGAAAGCCUGACGGAGCAACGCCGCGUGAGUGAUGAAGGUCUUCGGAUCGUAAAACUCUGUUAUUAGGGAAGAACAUAUGUGUAAGUAACUGUGCACAUCUUGACGGUACCUAAUCAGAAAGCCACGGCUAACUACGUG
This 497-nucleotide ribosomal RNA is filed under the name uncultured bacterium. Its description in RNAcentral is "partial 16S ribosomal RNA". It matches the Rfam family "Bacterial small subunit ribosomal RNA", at positions 28 to 507 of the family's 1533-position model. The record is from RNAcentral.